Molecule: long non-coding RNA, 1379 nt
Organism: Trachemys scripta elegans
Lineage: Eukaryota; Metazoa; Chordata; Testudines; Emydidae
Exons: 3
Source: RefSeq, a predicted model, not a curated record
CUAGGCAAAAGAGAAUUUGUGUGUGUAAAUAUUUGUGUAGUUAUGAAAGGUUUUAAGGACCUAAAACAACACUCAAUGGUUUGUAAAAUCCCGUUUAUAGGUUUAAAAUAAAUGGGUUGGUUUAUUUUUUUAUUAAAUAAAAAACAGUGCCAUUAAAACUCUAUUUGAAUCUGUCAUUCAGAGUUGCAACACUGACAGACCCUUCUGCCAGACACAGGCAGCUAGUGUGAUGUGGCUCUGGUAUUUAGCAUUUAAUCCUUUGGAUACUUCCAUGUUUUUAUAAAGUUUGAUAUCUUUUUAAAAUGAAGACCAGAGAAUGUGGCCCUGGCAAUGGGAAGAAAUUCUUUUUUGUUUUUGUAAUAAAUAGCAGCUAAGAACUGCAGGAGGGGCACAAAAGGUUAAAAAACAGUGCACCUUUGAAGCAAGGGCAGUGGUGGAAUGUAAAAAAGAAGCAAUGUCAGAAACACUGAACUUUAAGGUGGCUCUGAAUAAUCAAACUGUCACUAUGUUAAACCUUGGGAUAAAUGCUAGUGAGUGACCCUGUAACAAUGUAUAAUGUAUGUGAUUUUUUUGAGGAAAAUUUUUAAGCAUGCUAAAAAUGGUAAUUGAAAGCAAAUCUCAUGUUCAAAGGUCUCAUGGUAAUGCUGGCCUAUUUUCUCAGCUAUUACCUGUGAAUAAAUUUAAAGCUUGGCACAGAGAACCCAUUACAAACAUGGUCUGUUGUACAAGGGAAAUUGAGGUACACCACCUCAUAAAUGAACAGUGGGAUAGUUCACCCUUUCCCUUCAGGAUAGAAGUCAUUGAAACCUGGCUUGCUUAUAGAAUAAAACACAGGGAAGUAUGGAGGUAAUUCUUCUGUUUUUCCUGCAAUCAGCAAGGAGAUUUGUAAAAGGAAGGGGUAUUUUUAAGCAAUAAUCUUAGGGGCUAGCAAAUGUUUCUUUUGUUUUUCAGACACUCUACAGGCAAGCUGGUGCCAGCAGAAGAACAACCCAGAACGCUAUGGGUCUACUGUCACGACAAAGACUGUGUGGUAAUAUGGAUGCCAAGAUGGAAAAAUCCUAAUUUAAACUGGCUGCAGCCUGAGGCCAAAAAUACUUCCCGACAGGCGAAUGUGUGGGAGCCACUGUGGGAGCAGGUGCAAGCAAUGCUUUUCAACAUGGCCUUUUCAGUCCAUUACAUGGGGGUACACUGCAGAGAAUGCUCUGACACUACUGUUUUGUUUGAUGCUGGAGAGCUGCUGGAGCCCUGAGGAGGAGAAGAGGAGGACCACCUGAUGCUGGGGGAUUGCACAGAGAUUCUGAAGACCACCGUGGAGGGGGCACUUAAGGACUGAGUAAUUUUCAAACUGUGCUCUUGUGGUGUGGGUCCGGACUGUGUUU